GGUCGGUUAGCUCAGUUGGUAGAGCGUCGUGCUGAUAACGCGAAGGUCGUGGGUUCGAGCCCCACAUUGACAA
This 73-nucleotide transfer RNA is filed under the name Patiria miniata (bat star). Its description in RNAcentral is "tRNA-Ile". It matches the Rfam family "tRNA". From Rfam's summary of the family: Transfer RNA (tRNA) molecules are approximately 80 nucleotides in length. Lineage: Eukaryota; Metazoa; Echinodermata; Asteroidea; Valvatida; Asterinidae. The record is from Rfam by way of RNAcentral.